GGAACAUGUGAUUAUCGUAUCGACAUUUUAACGAGGUAAAUGAAUGAAACUUGCUGCAUUUAUUCCAAAUGAUGACCACCGACCGUGGUCGGCGAUAAUUACAUUGAAUGAAACAUUUACUCAAGUACACGUCCUUAAAAUUACUCCAAAUCUAAAUGAAUUCAUGCAAAGCUUAAACCAGCUUGUGAUUGUUGAUACUUUUCAUUGUACAAUUGUUAUCCAGGUUUCUGAGUUUGUUUGCUUAAAGGAUGGUACGCUUUUAGCUGGGAUAUAAAACUGUGCUCUCUGAUUUGUUUCAGUAGAUGUGUUGUACAAACAUUUUCAUUGCUUAACGUUAUGGCACCAGUCAAAUUGUAAACUCAUUUUUGCGGGAAAGCUGUCAUGAUUCCAAAUUGAUUGGGUCUAGUGAAAAAACGGAGCCAUUGGUUUAUUGUUUGAAGUGUGAUUACAUAUAUUAUGUAGAUUGCAUCUGGAAUAUUUUUGUUUGUAUGUUUCAGUUGUAGAUAUUGGUCAUGGGGAUACUGGUCAGUAGUACAGCUCUGGGUCUUGGUUUUAUUCAAAUGUGACGGUUUGACUGUUAGUUGAUGAAACUAGCAAAUGUUUAUGUAAGAUAAUUGAUCUGAAGGAUAGUCUGAUAUCUACAUUUAAUCCUUAUGUAAUGCACUUGGAAUAAUCUUUUAUUUUUUUGUGGACAAGAUUGUAUUUUAUUGCAUAUUUUGUACACAUAUCGUACAUAAACUAUGAGAUGUAAGGAGGGUUACUACAUAUCUCUUACCUUUGAAUGCAAUUUGAAUAGAAUGUCAGUUUAUUGUUUGGUUAAAUUAAUGACUUUCUGCAGUUCUUUGAAUUUUGUUGUGUAGCGUCACUAAUGGUCAUUAAUUUGUAGGUCUCAUGUUUGCAAAAAUACCCCUUCAGUUACAGAAUGAAUCCUUGUUACAGCAGUGGCAUAUGCAUUGCUUUGGCUCUUCCCAGGAGAUUAAAACUGUGUGACAGACAAUGACUUGAAAAUGAGAACUUUCUUUUUGUGGCUUCUGGGCAUACCAAUGGAAUUCUGAAGCAAGCCAUUAGAAUUGUUACCAGUAGAUGUGAUCAGCACACAGGUAGUAUGGAGAUACUUUCUGAACUCAAAGGGAAUCCCUGGAGGGAAGACGAAGAUCUCUUCAUGAAACAUUAUUGAGGAAAUUUAGAGAACCAGAAUUUGAUGCUCACUGCAGAACAAUUUUACUGCCACCUACAUUUCAUAUACCAUACAUCAUUUGGAACAACUACCAUUCCGUUCCAGAGAAUUAAACAUUUUGAAGCCUCGUCAAGCUUUUCUCCAUUUCCAGUGUUGUCAGUGUGGAAAUUGGUAUCAGCAUAAAGGUUCUCUCAGUCGACAUCUUAGAUUAGAAUGUGGAAAAGAACCACUAUUCAGUUGUUCGUUAUGUUCGUACAAAUCAAAACAGAAACAUGAUGUAAAGAGACACUUUCUUAAAAAACAUAUGAAACAUUAAAAUUGUGGUAUCCUCUGCCAUUUCUUGUAUUGCUGCAUUAAUUUGAUACAGUUGUUCUGGAAAAGUGAUUGUAAUUGGAAAGAAUGUGUCAGAUCUUUUUGCUUAUGCAGUUGUAUCUUAAAAAACAAUGACUUCUUAAGAAAUUAUGGUUAUGAUGUGCACUUUCAUAACUUGUAACAUAAUCAUGAAAUGAAGUCUGCAUAAUUUUUUCACGUACACAGUUGAACAAUUUGGUGGCAGAUGGGAUUCAUAAUGGAGGAUGAACUACCAGAUGUCAGAUAAAUUUUGUGUCCUCCUUUCACUCUUUUGUGCUUUUCAGAAUCUGAUUUUUUGUCAUUUUUUUUGUUUCACCAAAUAAAAAUAGAGUUACUAACCGUAUACCCUUGCAUACAGGACCUCUUUGAAAAUGUUUUCCACACAAGAAACUUAUCAUUUGUCCCCCCCCCCCCCCCCCUCACUUGUUUCUCCCUCAUACACUUUCAGCUAAGUCAGUUUUCACUGCUAAUUGUGAUUCAAGCUGUACACAAAUCUUGCUCUUGAUUGAUGCCCCAAACGGCCACUAAUUAUUGUAAUACAACAAACUGUAUAGAAAUCUUUCAGUUGCAAUUCCUCUAGCACCCAUCUCCGCUUGGUGCCCCCAAGCAUAUUUUAUAUUCACGAGAAAUUGUAUUCUGUAGUCAUGAAAUCAUCUAAUUUUUUUUAAGUUGUUCUAGUGAUGUGAACAUGUUCAAGAACUAUAAAGACUAUUUCACACCUAUGAAGACUAAUCCAAAUGUUAUUAAAAUUUCUUGGUAUAAUGUUGAGCAGCGCACUUGUGAUGGCAAAUACGUUUUUAAGGUAAGAAAUGAUCAACAAACAACUGUUUUAUCUGUGCUUGUACCCCUGAAAGAAAUAUAUACUGCAAGAGCAAGAAAAAUAGUGCGUCUCGGUUUUCGGGAGGAAUUACUGUAUACUGUUAUAUGCUUUUACUUGUCAAGGAAGCUAAAUAUGAAGACAUGAAGUGUAUUGUGAUAGGAGACACAGAUUUCUAUGAGAAACAACAACUCAAAAAAUGAAGUUAGUUCAGGAAAAUCAGAGUAAAACAGUAAGUUAAAGCAAUGAGAUGAACCCACUUAUAACUUUUAGUUAUGGUAAUUUGAAUCUUUAUAACAUUUGACUGUUAUAUAUCUUACGGAGUAUUUGAUUAAAAUAUAUUUUGAAAUGAUUGACUAUUUAUUUAAUAAAAUGAGAGCUAUGUGGCAACAUGAGUUUGUAUUUGUUCAAACUAUACAAUGGGCUACUGUUAACGUCAUGUGGCUUUAAUACAAAAAAUAAUGUACAUUUUAUAUGCUCUUUGUUAGUAUGACAUUAAAGACAUGUCAACUACUCCCUACUCUACAGUCUAGCCAUCUGUGGUAAACCUAUCCACUCCAACACCAAAAUUGUGAAUGUGUACAUCUCUCACCUUGCCCCUUGCGCAAGUACCACACAGAUCUUAACCACAAAUAAAUCUCCUGGGCAGUCUCUUCAUUUGACCCUCUAACCCUUGUAGGGCCUACCAUGUCACCCAGCACAACCCAGGCCUUGAAUACUGCACACGGGAUAUAACUUUUUUCAAGUUAAACUCUCAGAUGUGAUCAUCUCUCCUUGGUAUCCUUUCCACGUUCCCCACUAUCCUCUUUCUUCAUUUUCCAAUCCUUCACAAUAAACUUUGUUUAUCUCACAUUCCCACACCAUUACCCCUACUCCACAGUUCCUAUCCCAGAAUCAUUACAACUGGGAAAACUGCCUCGUACUCCAGCCCCACAGCUGAUAAAUACUGGAAUAUUUAAACACAUGUGAAACCACCCGUGUUGUUCACCAGUUGAAUGUGUUCACUGCAUGGUUGUUUACAGAGCAACAACUUCACUGAAUUGGACCAAUGCAUCAAUGCAUGCAGAAGAAGGGUUUGUCUUGGGACCACCAAGAAUCAAUUUGACCUCCUGCUGUCUCAAAUGUGUUUUCGUGAUCCAUGGACACAAACUGCAGGAUCUAAGUCUCCAUAUACUCGCAGAUUUGAAUGCACAAAGUGUGGAAAAUCUUACAUGCAGAAGAAAACUCUCAAUAGACAUGUGAAAUUAGAGUGUGAUAAAAAGCCGCAGUUUAGCUGUCCGUAUUGCCCACAUCGGUCUAAACAAAAAAGUAAUCUGCAGCAGCACAUAAUUGCUAGGCAUACUGGCCUUUGACUGUAGGCCCAUGUUCAAAACAGCUUAUACACUAAAUUAGCCUUAGAACACUCACAAAUUAAUUGUGAUGUGACAUCAUUUUCAAAUUUUGUUGCAUACUGUUUCUAGUUUUGUUUACGACAUUCAGUUCAGUUUCCUUUUUUCUGUCACAGUUACAAAAAUACUGUUAAUAUUAGGCUCCUGUGAAAGGCAGAUCUGAUUUUAUUUGUAUAUUAUUUAGUGUGAUUCAUGAUAAGGAUAAACCUUAAGUGUUCAUCAGAAAUAGACUCUAAAAUAAUGUUUGAUUAUGUUAACUGAUAUUCUAUUACUUGUUGGUAGAACGACUUCAUAAUUAGAAAUGAAAAGCACAGAAUUGUGUAUGUUCUAUAGUACUAAAUAAAAAUUAAAAUAAUUGAAACCUUGUAUGCUUGAACUAUCUUUUGUUGUUGGAGUCUUAAAAGUAAAUGUGUCUGAUGUUCUGUUUUGGAUGGUUAUUAAAGUGAAGUACAUUAUGUACAUUUAUUCAGUUUUUUUAUCAUAAUUUAUGCACUUAAUUUCAUCUUUUUAGAGCAAGAAGUUAAACAGCAUUCCUGUUUGGUUUGAUUUCUUUUCUUCUUUCCAUGGCAUAAAGUUGAAAAAUUAAAAUCUCAGAUGAAAUGACUCAUUCAUUUUGCAUGUGGUUGAGUUGGUGGAUAGAAAAUGCCAGGCAGACUGGACUGGUUUAUUUAGCUAACAUACAUUGCAUAAUUUUUGAAGUGGUGCGUAUAUGAUAGCAAUGAAAUACACUUAUAACUGGUGUUAAGUAUGUUAUUUAUUUGUGUAAAAUGUGUUUGUUGAUAAAUUGAUUCAAAUAAUACUUGAUGCUACAUAAACAUUGGUCACAUUAACUUAUGGUCUAAAUUAUUUUCAGUGUAACUUGUUCACUCUGAGUAGGAUUUACAUAAAGUGAACUGUGAAUUAGUACAUUCAGCACUUUUAUAAUCCAGUUUGAGUGUUGUUGGGGGUGGGAUUGGGUCUACAUUUUUCUUCUCUCAGCUAGUUGAAACAGGUUGACAUUUUGAUUGUUUUUAACGAGGAAACGAAAGAUUUUAGGCUUAAUGGCCUGAAGUAAGAAAAUGUUUCACUUAGAAUUGCGAGGAUCUAGACUCAAAUAAAAGUUUUGCCAUGCUAUUUGACACUAUCCCUCUACACUCCUAGAUUCUGAUAUGAUCUUUCGUGAGGGCCAAGGCUCAAUGUGUUGUUAAGGAGAGCAAGAAAAGUUCAUGGCAAGGGUGCCUGGCCUCUAUCAAUUGACCUACUUGUUCUACAAAAGUAUUUGAAGUCAUCCAGAGAAUUUCCGGUGAACACAGUUGUUAACCAAUAGCAGCAGUGCUGAAAUAGGGGUGUCUCCAAACAAUGCUCAGAGAUGUUGCUCAGAUGAUGGCAGCAACAACUAAAGCCAAUGUCAACAAGGAUCUGGUGUUCCGCUGCUGCCGUGCAACUGCAGAGAGGGGCAAGUUGGACUUCAGAUCCCACGUUCUUUGUCUUGCAACCACUCUUUCUCCAUACAGGAGCUUGAAUUGGCGCUGUCUGAGACUCUUGAUACUGCACCUGGUCACAACCAGUAGCGGUACUGCAAGCUUAGACAUUUCCCGACAGCAUCAAAGGGAAUCCUCCUCAAAUGUUUUAAUGUUAUUUGGCAGAUGGACAACUUCCCCAACUCGUGGAGAGAGGCAAUCCUGAUAUCUCUCCUCAAGCAAUGGAAGGACUGCACAUGCCCCAGUAGUUACUGGAGUGUCUCCUUGACGAACUGUGUAGGAAAGUCUUUUGGAACAAGUGGUUAAUUGUUGUUUGGUCUGGUUGAUAGAAGCCAGGCAACUCCUUAGCUGCUCUCAGUGUGGAUUCCGACGACUUCGGUCAUUGUUGACAAACUGAUCCUACUAGAGGCCUUUCGUGUGUAAACAUCACUGUCUCGGUAUAUUCUUUUAUAUCAUUAAGGUUUAUGACAUACUUGGAGACACAGUAUUCUCAUGCAACUCAGUCAAUGGGGCUUUGGAGGCUUUCUCCCCAUCUUCAUACGGUCCUUUCUGUCUAAGUCCUUUUUUUAUGUCCCGAAUUAGAGACUUGUGUUGGAUUGUUUUGAGUAAGACAGUGAUAUUCCUCAAGGCAGUGUUUUAAGUGUUAACCUCUUUGCCAUGGCCAUACAUCAGGUCUACAGCAAGGAAUCCUGUACAGUUCUCUUUAUUUGUGGGUGAUUUUGCUUUUUUCUGUUCCUCGUCCAGAAUUGCAAUGGCGACUCAUCAGUUGCAACUUACAGUGCGGAGGUUAGAGGAGUGGGUUGCAAAGACGUAUUCUCAGUUUUUUGCAGAUAAGUUCCUUUCAUACUUUUAAUUUACCUGGCUUGCGUAUGAAGGACAUUAUUAUACAUUUGGAAAACUCAGUGAAGUUUUUAGACAUCAUUUUUUACUUCAAACUGUCAUGGUUCCCAUACCUGAGAGACCUGAAAGCCAGAACUCAGAAGGCACUAAAUAUCGUAAAGUGCCUUUGCCACAUGCCUUGGGGAGCAGAUGCUCACAGGACCAGCCCCAUACACAGUCUCUGUGCCGAGGUUGGGGAGCUGCCUCUCACCAUCCAGCGGCAGCUCUUCGUGGUGCGUUAGGCAUGUAAGUUUCUCGCAGCUCUGACUUCACUUGCAUACCAUACUGUCUGUAAAAAAGGUUACUGAUUUUCAAAGAUAGUGUACAUGAUGCCCUUUUAAUGUUUUCCUUGUUUUUCAGAUGCUGGAAGGUUAUGCAACUCUGCCACGCUGCAGACUUCCCACGGACAGCCUGCUGAAAUGCCUAGUGACUCUUCUUUGACACAACAUUUCUAUUAUACAAAGUCCAGUCUCUCUCUCUCUCUCUCUCUCUC
Long non-coding RNA from Schistocerca gregaria, 6565 nucleotides. RefSeq lists it as uncharacterized. The record is from RefSeq and is a predicted model, not a curated record. Lineage: Eukaryota; Metazoa; Arthropoda; Insecta; Orthoptera; Acrididae. The transcript has 3 exons.